Molecule: ribosomal RNA, 2142 nt
Filed under: Triticum aestivum (bread wheat)
Lineage: Eukaryota; Viridiplantae; Streptophyta; Magnoliopsida; Poales; Poaceae
Description: partial small subunit ribosomal RNA
Source: RNAcentral
AUGGCGGCGAUCGCGAGGGGGAGCGUGCGGGAGGUCCGCGUCAGCGACGUGGAGGCGGCCGGGCUCGCCGCUGCCGACGCGGGGCCCUUCCUCGCCGCGCUCCGCUCGGCGGUUGGAGGUCACGACGACGCGGCCGCCGUGUGGGCGGCGGUCGUGGCGGCACGGGUGCUGCGGCCGGACCACCCGCACGCGCUCCACCAGCUGGUGUACUAUUCCGUCUACGCCGGCUGGGACCGCGCCGCCCGGGGCCCGCCGCCCUACUGGUUCCCCUCCCCGACUGACUGCAAGCAAACAAAUCUUGGGAGAGUGAUGGAAGAGAAUGGACCUAAGUUGUUAGGGGCAUCAUAUAAGGAUCCAAUUUCAAGCUUUGGCCUCUUCCACAAGUUUGCCGUUGAGAAUCAGGAGGUCUACUGGAAAAUUGUGCUAAAGGAGCUCUCCAUCAAGUUCCUACGAGAACCAACGUCGAUCCUAGAUGCGUCGGAUAAAUCAAAGAAGGGAGGAACAUGGUUCCCAGGUGCAGUGCUCAACAUUGCUGAAUGCUGUCUCCUACCAUGGCCUUCCCAAAACAAGACAGAUGAUAGCACGGCAAUUUUAUGGAGGGAUGAGGGCUUCGAUGAUUAUCCGGUGAACCGUAUGUCAUUGAAGGAGCUUCGCACCCAAGUGAUGACUGUUGCAAAUGCCCUUGAUACCAUGUUCCAAAAGGGGGACCGUAUUGCAAUCGACAUGCCUAUGACAUGCAACGCGGUCAUUAUUUAUUUGGCAAUCAUCCUUGGAGGCUUUGUUGUUGUGUCAAUAGCAGACAGUUUUGCACCUCAGGAGAUUGGCACUCGCAUGAGGGUCGCAAAAGCAAAGGCAAUUUUUACUCAGGAUUUCAUAAUUAGGGGAGGGAAGAAAUUUCCUCUUUACAGCUGUGUCAUGAAAGGGACUUCAUGUAAAGCUAUUGUAAUUCCUGCAACCGGAGACUGUCUUGGAGUUACACUAAGGAAUGGCGAUAUGUCCUGGAAAGAUUUUCUUUCUCGUGCUGCUGGAAGGUCACCCAUGUACUCUCCAGUUUAUCAAUCUGCAGACGCCCUAAUUAAUAUACUGUUUUCAUCAGGAACAACUGGAGAGCCAAAAGCUAUACCAUGGACACAACUUUGUCCCAUCAGAUGUGGAGCUGAUACCUGGGCAAAUUUGGAUGUUCGCCCAAAGGACAUUAGCUGCUUGCCUACAAAUCUGGGUUGGGUAAUGGGACCUAUACAGUUGUUCUUAUGCUUUCUAAAUGGUGCGACAUUGGCUUUAUAUCAUGGUUCUCCACUUGGACGUGGUUUCUGCAAAUUUGUCCAGGAUGCCCAUGUGAGUGCAUUAGGAUCUGUGCCUAGCUUGGUGAAGUCAUGGAAGGCUGGGAAUCAUACUAAAGGGCUAGACUGGACCAAAAUCAGGGUACUUGCUACAACAGGGGAGGCUUCCGAUAUUGAUGAUAAUCUGUGGAUAUCUUCGCGGACCUGUUACAAGCCCAUUGUUGAAUGUUGUGGGGGCACAGAGCUGGCAUCCUCAUUCAUUCAGGGGAGUCUUUUGCAGCCACAAGUUUUUGGAGCUUUCAGUGGUGCAUCAAUGUCCACUGGAUUUGUCAUACUCGAUGAACAGGGAAAUCCAUAUCCUGAUGAUGUACCGUGUUCUGGAGAAGUCGGUCUCUUCCCUUUAUAUUUUGGUGCCACCGAUCGGCUUCUCAAUGCUGACCAUGAUAAGGUCUACUUCGAUGGAAUGCCCGUUUACAGAGGACGGCAACUCCGACGACACGGAGAUAUAAUCCAGAGGACAGCAGGUGGCUACUAUAUCACAAGUUCAGUGGAGAUUGAACGGGUUUGUAAUGGAGCCGACGAGGGUCUUCUAGAAACAGCAGCUGUUAGCGUCAAACCUCCCGGCGGGGGGCCAGAACAACUGGCUAUCCUGGCAGUGCUUAAAGAUAGAUCCGCAACCUAUGAUGCAAAUCUUCUGAAGGGAAAGUUCCAGAGAGCUAUCCAGAGGAACCUCAAUCCCCUUUUCAAGGUGAGCUAUGUGAAAGUCGUCCCCGAGUUCCCGAGAACCGCUUCGAACAAGCUGCUGAGAAGGGUCCUGAGGGAUCAGCUGAAGCGAGAACUCGGGAAUCGCAGCAAGCUAUAG